UUUUUAGGUUAGCUUUGAAAACUUUCCAAUUGUUGUCGAGUUGUUUGCACUUCUUAAUUUCUUUUGAUAUUUUUUUCAUACAUUAAUUUUGUUAUAUUUGUUUGU
Long non-coding RNA from Drosophila navojoa, 105 nucleotides. NCBI's taxonomy places the organism in Eukaryota, Metazoa, Arthropoda, Insecta, Diptera, Drosophilidae. The record is from RefSeq and is a predicted model, not a curated record.